RNAcentral lists this unclassified non-coding RNA (401 nucleotides) under Hevea brasiliensis (rubber tree). The record is from RNAcentral. Lineage: Eukaryota; Viridiplantae; Streptophyta; Magnoliopsida; Malpighiales; Euphorbiaceae.
AGGAGUUCAUCUUGAGAUGACAGGCCAAAACGUCACAGAGUGCAUUGGUGGAUCACGAACUGUGACCUUUGAUGAUCUGAGCUCACGUUACCACACUCACUGUGAUCCUAGGCUCAAUGCAUCUCAAUCCCUUGAGCUCUCAUUCAUUAUCGCAGAACGUUUGAGGAAAAGGAGGCUCGGAUCGCAAAGCACAUUAGGGCAAUAGAUAUUUGGAAAUGUUCAAGUACUGCCUUUUUUUAUUUACUUCUUCACUUAUAUCAUGAAUGUUUGUAUUAAAAAAAAUUGUAUUUUCUUAAAUCCUAUUUGGAGGAUAUAUGUUAUGUUUACCCUACGUGCAUACUGAAAUUGUUUUAAUGUAAUGAGAGUUUGGUGAGACUAAGCAAUAAAGCAAGGAAGUUACU